This is a long non-coding RNA of Rhagoletis zephyria (snowberry fruit fly), 279 nucleotides long. RefSeq lists it as uncharacterized. Lineage: Eukaryota; Metazoa; Arthropoda; Insecta; Diptera; Tephritidae. The record is from RefSeq and is a predicted model, not a curated record.
UUAAUGUGAUUACAACAUAACUAAUUUGGAAACAUCGGAAAGCAUCGAUAUAUCGCUGUUUUUCUGGCGCUGUAUUUUAGCAUCGAUGUUCAUGUUUCCGAUGCAUCGAAACAUCGAUGUAUCAAUGUUACUCCCCAAAACUUGCAUCCCUAUUCACAACAAUACAUCUGUCGGGCGUAUGAAAACGAUAAUACGAGAACUGAUUUCAUACGAUACGCUUGCAAGCGUUUAUCGUCUAUCGUAAGAAAAUUAAUAAUGGGGGGGAAGGAAAAAUUACUU